Colletes gigas is the source of this 80-nucleotide small nucleolar RNA. NCBI's taxonomy places the organism in Eukaryota, Metazoa, Arthropoda, Insecta, Hymenoptera, Colletidae. The record is from RefSeq and is a predicted model, not a curated record.
UUAUAAUGAUGUUCUGCCAUGCUAAUACUGAGGGAUUAUCUGGAUCUCGCUGAGUUGAUCUCUUCUAUAUUCUGAAUAUC